GAUACCAUGGUUUUCUCAAAGGCUGCUUACAGAGCACUGAAUUCUCAAAGGCUCUUGUACAAUGAUGAGAUCAAGAAGUUUAACAAUUUUUGCAGAGAUCUGUGGCCUGGCAUAAUACAUAAGCCCAGCUGGGCAUUAUCUUGUAGCUGGUGGUCUCUGUCAUUUCAACAGGCUUUCGAUAAGGUGUUACACAGGGUGAUGGAUUUAAAAGUCCACCACAAUGAUCCCACUUACAUAGUUCCUAUGACUUUUUGCCUUUCCUCAGGCUUUAAUAUGCAUGAAUGUUGGGAAACAGCAAGUAAUAAUAUGCACAGCUCAGUGGGAAACACAGUCCGGGACACCAGAAAUAAUGAACUGAAGGCUUUUUAAUGUGAGCUGCAGAAUGCUGACAUCUGUUGAAAUAUCAUGACUUCAGAUGCUCAAAACUGCACAGAAUCAAUCAAUAACUGAGUUCAGAAGGGACCUCUGGAGAUAUCUAGUCCAGCCCCUGGCUCAAGAAGGGUCAGCUGCAGCACUGCAUAUGUACACGCUUUCAAUGCAAUAACUCAGCUGCACAAGAUCAGAGUUACAAGUGGUUACAAGCCAAGAAUAUGCAAAGAAUAGAAAAUCUGCUGCCUUAUGUUCAGAACUCUGCAAACAACUUGCAGUGUUUAGUCUUAUAAGAUAUUUAAUUAUACUCGAGGAAUCUUUGCCAGAAUCAUGUGGUUAACUGCCAAAUAAUGCCUACUCUGAGUAGUGCGAAAGGGCUGCCUCAGCAACAUUUACCAUUUAUGGUAUUUAAAUAUCAUUUUGGCUCAGAGGCUAAUAAGUCAAGUGAGCUGAGGAGAAUGCUUAACUAAAAAGCUGUCUGAGCAAGCCCAGAGAGAGAAGCAGCAGAUUCCACUAAAAUUUCUCCAAGCAAGACUCAGGUUCACACACAAUUCUUGAGCCUGAAAAGAGUUUCACAUCUCCAUGUAUUUUCAUUGUAAAUAAAUCCAGCUUUUACCAGAUCUCAUGUUAACAAUGGUACCAACUCAAAAAAUAACAGAUUUUAUAGAGCAGAAAAUUGGUAUUAGGGCACUUGUCUCAUCUUUCUUUCUUCCUGUAAAGUAUUUUUCUGUCUCAGGCCUGAAGUAGUACGGUCAAAAUAUUUUCUACAAGUUUUCCAAGAAUUACAAACUUGAUUUAUGCUGGCAUAAAAAAAUAUGAGACCUGUAUGCUCUUAAGACAUGUAGGGAUAUUUCUGCUUUAUUAAAGACCUCAGCAUCUCAUUUAACUUCUGCGUCAUUCUGCAAGCACUCAUCUCUCAUUUGCACCCAAAAUUUGUUCCCCUUUUACUGGAAAUGAUUUAUAUCGAGAAGAUGUCUUUAGAGAACAUAAUUUAUAUUGAUGGCACAAAUCCUAUAUUAUUAAAAGGUCCCAUGCAUGUUUUGCUUUUGCUCUUCAUUUUGGGUCUGUAGUGGCAUUGUGGCUCAUGUUUGGUGCUGAGGUGCUGAAAGAAGACAAAUAAAAAAAAAAAAAAAGAACUUUAAUCUUACAAGCUGUUAGCGACCCAUAGGGAGUGCUCUGAACUAAGAACUUGGGAACAUUAUGGAAAGCACUGGAACAGAGUUUCUUUGAUGCUCAUGACAGCUUACCUCUGACCUUUCAAUACCAUAAUGAAAAACCCCUCCCUUUCA
Pezoporus flaviventris is the source of this 1658-nucleotide long non-coding RNA. RefSeq lists it as uncharacterized. The record is from RefSeq and is a predicted model, not a curated record. The transcript has 3 exons. Lineage: Eukaryota; Metazoa; Chordata; Aves; Psittaciformes; Psittacidae.